GAUACUUAAGUCGGGAAGGGUUUUGGAAUAACAUUAGAAAAUAAAAAAUAUAAGAAAAAGAUUAGUAUGUAAUAUUGUCUUUUUCUGAUUGGCCUCCUCUAGUCGGCCUCGGGCUCCUCACCUCGGUCGCUGGCUUCUCACCUAGGUCAUGGGCUCCUUACCUUUGCCUUCUCAUCUCAGCCUCGGCUUUUACCUUACCUCGACCUUAGCCUUCAUCUUGGCCUCGGCCUUCUCUCCAGCAUUGGCAGCUCAUAGACCUACUGAGCUGCAAGAAAGAAAAGCAGACAAUGGAUCAGGACUUGAGAGCCUCUCACCAUAAGAUCUUUGAGCUAUGAGAAUUUCUAGCUAUAAGAGCUCCUCCCUUUGAGGUCCCUUGGACUUGUUUAUAUAAGCGAAGGAGCAUGAGUGUGUUAUAGUUGGAGGCAAAAAUCAAGAGAUGAGCUAUAACUCCUUCCUUAUGAGCUAUGACCAUCAUUCUGUUUCUAGAUCUUCUUAAUUGUAGAGUUGUAACUACUCCAAAAUCAAUUUUUUUCAAAAUUGCUUGCCACCUGUCUAUCCAUGAUACGGAUGUUGGUCCUAUGCCAUAUUAACAAAUAUUUUUACAGAAAAGGUUGAUUAGAACCUACUCUACCGAAUUUCAAGUUAAAUCUAAUCAAUCCUAAUUGGAUGGAUUUUUGACGCCAAUGAGAAACAAUUCGAUAUAUUUUUUAUCUCUAAAUAGAAAAAUUAUAUAAUUUGGAUACUCCAAAUCUAUACAUAAAAUUUUAGAAAAAAAAGAUAAUUUAAAUAAGAUGAAAUAAUGUAUAUCUUUUAACCACUUGAUUCAUAGGCUAGAGGUUCCUAAAUCAUAUGAUAUUUGAUAUUUAAGUGCUUAGACAUAAUAGAUAAUGUCUACUAGCUUGGAUUAUAGGUAUCAAACCCUUAUCAUCCGACUAGCACUGACUGAGACUGACUUAAAAUUUGGUCAAUCGGAUUCUAGUUCACUUCUUUUUACCAAUGUUGCUAGUAUUCAGGUAAUAUUUUUAUAAUCUUAGGCCAAAUAGAUUUUUAAAACCUAAUCCCCAAUCUCCAAGCCAUAGUACACUAGGUCAUCGACUACUCCAAAAUAAUUAAAAGUCACUAAUACACACAAAUAUGUGCUUUUCACUAUCUCAUCACCUUUACAUCCAUAAUACCUAUCCUACUUGUUGCUAGAAUUUGGACUCGGUGGCGACCGCGGACCGAGGUGGAGGAGCUCCGGCUGGUGGUACGACGGCUGAUGGCUGUCUCCGGCGGACCUGCAAGAAGCCUGCGGGCUGGGGGUUCCAGCGCAGGCCCUCCAAUGCUUAAGUUAGAGGGAAUUUUUAAUGGAGAGGGAUAAUAAUGAGAAGUAACAGAGAGAAGUGAUGGCCCGGGAAGGAAGCCCAAAAGUCCCCUACCUAGAGCUCUCCCCCCAUUUUAUAGUAGGGGAUGUAGCAGUUAUUUGUGAUCGGGCGUGAUUACGCGAAUCAAUGAGUUACCAUAAACGAUUCGAGAUUUCGGGCUAGCUGGCGAUCCGUUGAGAUCAUGUGUAUUCAAAUGUUGACAGCCGUUAAGGUAGAGAUCGCGGGAUUUGAUCUCGAAGAUGGAGGGCUUGAUUUUCGGUGUAGUGGGGAGGUUUACGUCUUCCUUUGACUGGGGCUUUCUUGGCCAUGAGGUCGAUCGGGCUCAACUCUGCCGAGACCGUGCCUGCCAAGGUCAUGCCGAGAUCGAGGUUGUGAGCUCUGUGGUUGUCGAUGCCAAGACCGAGCGCUUUGAGGUCGGGCAUUCUGAGGUCGGGCGCUUUGAGGUCGUGAUUGCCGAGAGUAUGGUUGCUGUCGUCACAUUCGUCAUCGAGUGCCAGCGAUUUGACCACGUGCUUGGAGUGGUCCAUUUUUCUCCCAACAUUACUCCCCGACUUCCAAGUUCGAGCCAUUUUCGAGCGCGGGCGAAGGUAGUAGCUAUUUCUGUCGUGUCGGCGAGAUCAGGCGGCUUUAAAUUGUUCCGCUGUUUUGAGUGCUUUAGGACGUCUUCAAUGAUAACACGAGGCGGCGGCUUUUUGCUUUUCGAGGAGGUUUCGAGCCGUGGGUUCAUGAUGAGGCUCCAGUGUCCAACGAGACGCCGCUUCAAUUUUGCUUUUAAAGCGCCGAUCCAAGUUGAUACGUUGCUUCGGUUUCUAAGGUCAACAUGUGGCGUGAUCUGGAUGGGAGGCGCGGUUUGUCCUUGUCGAUCUGAAUCGUUGGAAGGGUCUAUAUACACCCUUGGCCUGGCCCUAAAAGCCUUUAUUUAGCCACCGUAGCUCUUGUCUUCUUCCUCUUUUGCUUUCUUCUUCUCCCGAUCAUUACUUAGCUUUCUUCGAGGGUGCUUCAAGGCGUUCUUUGGUGAUUCCCCUUGGUUCUUUGCUUUUGACCAUUAGCCUUUUCAGCGAGGUCCAUGGUAGGUUUUUCUUUUCAUGUUCGCUCGGAGGAUUGUCAGUCUUUCUUCUCUGUUCCUCCAUUUUUCUUCUUUUCUUCUUUUUAGUACUGUGAGUGAGACAAUGUCAAACAGCAAUUCUUCCUUUGCGGGGGCUUCUCCUUCUCGGGGGAAGGAGCUUGGGCCUGAGGUGAGCAAUGGUCCAGAUGGGAUCGGGUCGAGCUUGUCCAGAGAAGAAUUGGGCACGAUUUGGACCCAGUUCUUCUUUCCGUGCAAAUUCGAGCUCGAAUUCGCAGGGUUGUGGGACCGAGUUACUAGGCCCCCUCCCGGUCGGGUCGCAGUGUAUGUGGAGACACUUCGAGCCGGCCUGAGAAGUCCCCUGCACGAGUUCAUGAGCGAGCUCCUGGAGAAGUAUCGCCUCGUCCCAGCGCAGCUCGCUCCGAACUUAUGGAGGAUAAUAAUUGGUUUUUUAUCCCUCGCCUUGCUCAUGGCAUACCGACCUCGGUCAAUAUCUUCCGUGGAUGUUAUAUGCUGAAGUUUAACCCCGCGGAUGUAGGGUGGCUAUACUUUGCCCUUCGAGAAGGUAGGCCGCUGUUCCGAGGUGCUCCUACCUUCAUCCGUGGAUGGAAGGAGAAAUUCUUCUUUUUUCCUCCGAGCGUCCGUGGGGGUUUAACCCGUCGUGGGGCCAGCCUAUAGUCAAGGCCAACAAUAGGGUCCCCGAGCUGACCAUGAGCGAGUAGAAGAUCCUUGAGGCUCUUUGCGGUCUGAAGGGGGAUAUCUCUCUGAACGACCUCCUGAGCGAGGAGGCCCUAGUAAAUGUCGGCUUGAGCUCGGCGAGCCUUGAGAGUAAGGGCGGUUGUACCACUUAUCCCUUUUUCAUCGUCCUUCAUUUUAUUUAUUUUCUCUUAUUCUUUUUUCCUUUCCUCUUUUUUUGGUGUCGGUCUGACACUUGAGUUCUUUCUUCCUUUCAGACAUUGUAGGGAUGGUGUCUAGUAAUGCGCCUCUCCUCGCCAGGUACAAGAAGAGGGCAGCCAAAGCCGGCGGAGCUCACCCCAUGCCCAAGAAGAAGGCUAAGCCGGUAUCGAGGUUAAGGACCUCGAAGCUGAGAUUUCCAAGCUCGUUCGGAAAAACAGCAAGAAGAAGACUGGGGAGCGCAAACCGGAGGAAGCUCCCCUCGUCGAGCGCGCAACUUCAUCCGGGGCUGCAAGAGAUCCAGCGACCCCAGCGUGCUCGACCCCGAUUUCUCAGCGACCCCGCUAGGUCAUCCGCUUGCGGCGCUCGGGUCCCGAGCCGGGCAGCGAUCUCGGGGUCCCGAGCUCUUCUCAUCGUUCUGUGCCGAGCUCUUCAAGACCAAGCCUCCCGAGCUCUUCAAGGGUCAACCUCUCGAGAUCGUCGAAGACUGGGGGCUGCUCUGAAAGGAGGCCCUUCUGCCCGGAGUGGUCGGUCUACAGGAUGACUCGGCCCUCCAUAAUAGUGACGUCGCGCGCGAGGUUGUUCGCUGCGCGUUGCUUCCAGCUGACCGUGCCGAGCUCGAAGCUGGAGGUUGUUCGCUGCGCGAGGUUGUUCGCUGCACAUUGCUUCCAGUUGACCAAGCUUACUGCUCCGCCGUCCGAGUAAGUUGUCUUCCUGCUUUGGUUUUCAUAUUCUUCUAAGUUUUCGAUCUCGGCUCACUUUCAUUUUCUUUUCCACAGCACCUCCAUGAGAUUGACAUGCUGGUCGCCGUGGAGGCCGAGUGCCAGCAUCAGGCUCAGAGGAGCCAGAAGGGGCAGGAGGACGCCGAGAGGAAGCUCGGUGAGGCCGAGGCCGAGCGAAGGAGGCCACUGCGAGAAUGGAGGCUGCUGAGGCCGAGUUUCGAUCCAAGGCCGAGCACUUUGAUGAGGAAGAGGCCUCACAAGCUCUGACCAGGUCAGAGCUUCGUGCCUCUGAGGCAUGUUUGGUUGACGCUCGCUCUGAGCUCGUCGGCCUAAAAUAUGAGGCGGGGGUCCUUCGAUUGAAGAUCGAGCAACUUGAAGCUUGAGAGAAGAAGGCGCUGGAGCAGGCUCGGAAUGCGGUGCAGAUCUUCCGUGAGUCAGACGAAUUUCGGGAGCUGCUAGAGGAGGAGGCGGUUGAUGGGCACAUCCGUGGCAUCGAAGAUUUCCGGAGGCAGAUGCUGAGGAUUUGCCCCAAGCUCGACCUCCAUAGUCUUCAGCCUCGUCUAGGGGUCGUUGUGGAUGACAUCGAACCCGGAAGUCCUAAGGAUGAGGGCGCGCUCGAUAGUACGCAUGAGAAACCCGAAGGCGAGCCUGAGCUACAGCCACCGAGAUCGAGAUCGGGGGGGCUGAGCAGGUUGCUCGCGAGGCCCCAUUUGGAGAAGCCGCCGAAGGUGCUCAUGAACAAGCUUCUGAAGCUGCUCCUGAGGCCGCACACGAAGUUUCACCUGAGGUCGCAACGUGAGGAUGAUAGUGUUAUUUCGAUGAUUAACACAACAAUUAAGGGAACAUCAAAUUAAAAAUACAGUUUAACAUGAUAUAUCACUAAUAAAUACGACACCCUCGAUACAUUCAUAAUAUAUUGAGAGAAUGAGAUCAAGACGACUUCUAAUGAUUAACAACGAGAUAAAAUUUAUAGUAAAAAAAUGAUAGAGAGCUUUUAAAUCUAAUUUAGUAAAGUUUCAAGUGAAAUAUCAAUAAAAAAAGAAUUAUUGUAAUAUCAUUUGGAAUGGUGCUGCUGUAAUGAAUGGAACUCUGAGUAAUGGCAUUUACAUUUUGUCACAGCCUGUUCAUGUAAUGUACAAGUCCAAUAAGCGCCCUAGAAUAGAUAAUGUCAUGGAUGUCUAUCUUUGGCAUCAUAGGCUAGGACAUAUUAACAAGAAUAGGAUGAACAGGUUAAGUAAAGAGGAAAUCCUCGAUGUUAAUGAUUGUGAAUCAUUGACAACCUGUGAAUUAUGUCUUCUUGGUAAAAUGACCAAAUCACCUUUUACCGGAAAAGGUGAACGAGCCAGUGACUUAUUGACCCUUGUACAUUCUGAUGUUUGUGGGCUAAUGAGCACAAAUGCUAGAGGUGGGUAUUCAUAUUUUAUUACGUUUACAGACGACCUUUCUAGGUAUGGUUAUGUCUAUUUAAUGAGACAUAAAUCUGAAUCAUUUGAAAUGUUCAAAUUAUAUCGUAAUGAAGUAGAAAAACAAACUGAAAAGAGUAUUAAAAUUUUUCGAUCAGAUCGAGGAGGUGAAUACCUCACCAGUGAGUUUUUGACAUAUCUAGAAGAAAAUGGGAUUCUCUCUCAAUGGACUCCUCCUGGUACACCACAGUAUAACGGUAUAUCAGAAAGGAGAAAUCGAACUAUGUUAGACAUGGUUCGAUCCAUAAUGGGGUUUGCUGAUCUACCAUAUCCUUUUGGGGAUAUACUCUUGAGUCAGGCUACAUGGUUCGAUCCAUGAUGGGGUUUGCUGAUCUGCCAUAUCCUUUUGGGGAUAUACUCUUGAGUCAGCCUGCUACAUUCUAAAUAAGGUUUCAAGUAAGUCUGUAAAUAAAAUACCACAUGAGAUGGACUGGACGUAAGCCGAUGCUCUCUCACCUUAGGAUUUGGGGGUGUCCAGCGUACGUUAAAUGUUUGACGACAGACAAACUUGAACCCAAGUCUGACAGAUGUUUCUUUGUUGGUUAUCCUAAAGAAACUAAAGGAUAUUACUUCUACUUUGCUGAAGAACAAAAGUUGUUUGUAAGCAACAGAAAUAUUUUCUUAGAGAAAGAAUUUCUUAGUGAAGGAACUAAAAGCUCUAAUGUUGAGCUUAGGAAAGUUCAACAUGUAGAAGAUCCGACACCAUCCACUGAACCAAUUGAGUCGGAUUUGAUUAGAUCAGAUCCAGAACCCAUCUUAGAUGCACCAUUAAGGCGAUCAGGUAGAGUACCACGUCAGCCGGACAGAUACUACGGUUUCUUGGUCCGGAACGGGGAUCCUGUCGAACUUGAUGAAAACGAUGAGGAUCUGAUCACCUACAUGGAUGCGAUGCAGAGGUAUGACUCUGAUGCAUGGCUUGGAGCCAUGCAAUCCAAAAUGGAAUCCAUGAAGGUCAAUGAUGUAUGGACAUUAGUUGACCCACCUGAAGGAAUUAAACCCAUGGGUGUAAGUGGAUUUUCAAAAAGAAACGGGGCGCAGACGGAAAGGUAGAGACCUAUAAAGCCCGUCUAGUUGCCAAAGGAUAUCGUCAACGUUAUGGUCUUGACUAUGACGAAACGUUUUCUCCUGUGGAAAUGCUCAAAUCCAUUCGGAUUAUGCUUGCGAUAGCAGCACACUUAGAUUAUGAAAUCUGGCAAAUGGAUGUAAAGACUGCUUUUCUAGAAGAUUUAGAAGAGGAGGUGUAUAUGAUGCAACCUGAAGGUUUUAUAUCUGCAGAUGAGUCUAAGGUGUGCAAGCUUCAAAAAUCCAUUUAUGGAUUAAAGCAAGCUUCACGGAGUUGGAACAUACGAUUUGAUAAGGUGAUCAAAUCGUAUGGCUUCAUUAAGAAUGAAGAGGAACCUUGCAUUUAUAAAUGGGCAAAUGAAUCAGUUAUCAUAUUUCUUGUUUUAUAUGUGGAUGACAUUCUUUUAAUCGGAAAUGACAUUCCUGCAAUACAAGGAAUAAUGGUUUGGCUAUCAUAUCUCAAUUUGCCAUGAAGGAUUUGGGAGAAGCAUCUUACAUCCUAGGGAUGAAGAUCUACAGAGAUAGAUCUAGAAGAUUGCUUGGAUUAUCCCAAUCCACAUACAUUGAUACUAUACUGAAAAGGUUCAGUAUGAUUAAUUCCAAGAAAGGCUAUCUUCCAAUGGACCAUGGAAUUAACCUCUCUAAAAGGGAUUGUCCGACAACCUCUCAAGAAAGAGAGAGUAUGGAUAGAAUUCCAUAUGUUUCGGCAGUGGGAUCUAUAAUGUAUGCCAUAACAUGUACUAGACCAGACGUGGCAUACUCACUAGGAGUAGUGAGCAGAUACUAGUCUGAUCCAGGUAGCAACCACUGGAAGGUUGUAAAAACCAUCCUUAAGUAUUUAAGAAAUACUAAAGAUCAGUGGCUUGUCUACGGUGAUUCUGACUUAAAACUUGAGGGAUAUACUGAUUCAAGUUUUCAGUCAGAUCAAGAUGAUAGCAAGAGCGUGUCAGGAUAUAUCUUCACUCUUAAGGGUGGGGCCAUCUNNNNNNNNNNNNNNNNNNNNNNNNNNNNNNNNNNNNNNNNNNNNNNNNNNNNNNNNNNNNNNNNNNNNNNNNNNNNNNNNNAAGCCGUAUGGUUGCGCAAGUUCAUCACCGAGCUGGGAGUGGCACCUUCCAUUGAUGGUCCAGUUCCUAUAUUUUGUGAUAACACUGGAGCCAUAGCUCAGGCAAAGGAACCUAAAGCACAUCAGCGGACCAAGUAUAUUCUACGAUGCUAUCACCUGGUUCGAGAGAUUAUAGAACGAGGUGAUAUUGAUCUUCAGAAAAUUGACACAAAAGAAAAUCCGGCUGACCCAUUUACCAAAGUCCUCGGCAUCAAAGAGUUCAACGAACACAAGUCGAAGAUGGGUAUUAGAUACUGUGCCGAUUGGCUUUAGGCUAAGUGGGAGUUGUUGGAAAUUGUAUCCUAAAUGUCAAUCAUCAGCAUAUUGAUGAUUGAAUUUUGUAAAUGAAUUGACAAAUUAAUAAAGUAUUAUUUGACAUUAUUCAUCAUUUCAUCUUCAAAUGAACUCUUAUAUGAUGAAGUCCUUAGGACUUAUGUUAUGAUAAAGGAGGAUUUAUCUUUGAGUCCUUAAACUUGUUCGCGACCAAAUGAUACGUUGUUACUAGGACGACAACAUUAUCGAGAUUAGGUCGUUGUGUGAUAUAUACGUUGGUUGUCUUCUUAACCAAGGAGUGUGGAGACGCUGGUAUGCCAUACAGGUGAAGUGUAGGAGUACAUUUCACUGAACGUGACCAAAUCCGGAACGCUCUACUAUCAAGAGACGUUCCGAGUGGAUAUGGGUAUAAGUUUGGCCCUCUGACCUGAGAUCGCAACCUGUGACUAGCAAGCAACUCACUGUACUUUGGUACCGGACUAUCUGAAUUUCUAAUUCAGUGACGGAAGGUCACUGAGUGCAGUCAAGUACUUGGUAGUCAGUUGUGAGUCGAGAUAGAAUUGACCACUCCUGGAAACAGGAGAUAAUGUCUUGUGAUUAAUUUAGGAAAAUCUUGGCCAGGGUAAUUCCAGUGAGGAGUCACGGGAUAUCUAAAGUUAAUCAUAUAAUGGAUGUACUAAUUAUAGGUUUGACAGUGAGCUCUAAGUCAUCCUGGCAUUAGGAGUCAAAGGGAUUGAAUUAUACAGUAACCAUAGUCCAGGGUUCCAGAAUAUUUGCUUCGCAUAUAUUCGGCCUAUCCGGACGUCGGGUACCAUUGCUAGAUGGUCACAUCGAUUAGUAUAGGAAGAUGUUCCUAUACUACCGGCUUAGGUUCGAACCUAUGAGGUCACACGCAUAGAAGUUUCUAGGUUGAUCAAAUAGCUGAUUGAUGAUUAAGAAUCAUUCAGGGGUAAUUUGGUCAAUUCGAUUGACAAAUUAUCCUAAGCAAAAGUUGCAUUAAAAUAAUUAUUAAAUUAUUGGAGGAUUAAUUAGCAAUUAUAUUGCUAAUGAACUCAAUUUGAUUGAGUAAUUGGGCUUAGGUUGAGCCAAAUUGAAUAGGAUUCAAUUUGGGCUGCAUCAGGAUUUGACCUAAUUGGAUUGGGUUCAACCCAAGUAGAUUGAGCUUGACCCAAGUGAUGGACUUGACCCAAUUGGAUUGGGCUUGAUCCAAAUCAAUUAGAAGACCUUAUUUGAUGAGGAUUAUGAGUCCAAAUAAUCAGAAUUGGAUAAGGAGAAGAAUCCCUAAAUUUUAGGAACCCAUCCUUAUCUUCUUGGAGAAGAAUGACACCUUAAUUUAUCCCCAAUAUUUUCUAUGCCUAUCCUCUUUAUUUUUGGCCAAAAAUUGGCGUGAGAAGAGAGGAGGCAUGAGGCUAUAUUUUUUAAAAAAAUGGCACCUUAAAUAUUUCUAGAAAGAUUUAGAUGAAUUUCCUAAUUUGUAUGGAUUGCAUGGCGCAUGAAAUAGGGUGGCUGCGGCUGAACUUUGAAUGCAUGAAUUCCUAUCUUUUAGGGAUCCAAAAUGCACAAAAUUUGGAUAUGUUUAUCUCCUCUUAGAUACCAAACCACAAGAAUUUUUUGGGAAUUUUAUCAGCCAAAUUAGUUGGCUAAAUUAGGUAUGAGGCGUGGGGUGGUCUUUUGGCUAUAAAAGACCCACAUGCCUUGGGUUCAAGAUAUACCAUAUUUAGAGGUUUCAAAAAAUUCUGAAAAAAUUCUCUGAGGGCCUCCAUCCCUUCUUCUCCUUCUUCCUCGCGUCCAUCCUCCAUCUUCUUGAAGAACAAUCAAAGGUUGAGUGUUUAGAAGGAGAAAGCUUCAGCCAUUGCAACGUUCCUGCGCGAGCUAGCACUCCCGCGGAAGACGAUCUACCUAGGGCUUCGCGUGUACUUCUCAUAGAGGCCAUUCGUGUGCGUGGUUGCAAAGUCAAGGAUCAGAUCCAUAAGUUUCUUCUAUCAUAAAAGGUUGUUGCCCAAGGUGACAAUCCAAGAGGGGGGGGUGAAUUGGUUUCUUCUAAAUUUUAGUGUUUUUAAAAACUUUCGUAAUUAAGUGCGGUGGAUGCUUUCUUAGGUUAUUUGAGUGAGUUAAAUUAAUACAAGAAUAGAAGAUAAAGCAAGGGAAAAUGAAAGCACAAACACAAUGCAAACACACCAAUAUAUAGUGGUUCGGUGCUCUCCUUAGCACCUACGUCCACUCCCCAAGCGUACCCUUGGGAAUUCACUAUAAUCUCACGGAUUACAGUUGGAUUGUUUUUCGGGCUCACAAUACNNNNNNNNNNNNNNNNNNNNNNNNNNNNNNNNNNNNNNNNNNNNNNNNNNNNNNNNNNNNNNNNNNNNNNNNUUUGUUGGUUUUGCGGGCUCACCAACGAACCUUUACAAAGUGUUUAAUAAACAAAAGAAAAGAUUCAAACUCCUAAAUGAGCAUAUGAAACAAUGUGAGCUACAAAGAAGAGUUAGAAAAUAUUUAUCGCUUUGAAGUCGCUUUGCUCUUCUUUGUCAAGGAUGCUUCACUCUACAAGGGGGGAUGGAGCUCUUGAUGCCUCUUUGAAUCUGCUCAAUCCCUUUCUUUGNNNNNNNNNNNNNNNNNNNNNNNNNNNNNNNNNNNNNNNNNNNNNNNNNNNNNNNNNUUCUUUGAUAUUCCACUCAAAAGAUAUUCUCUCUGAUGAAUAGUGCCCCUUUAAAUAGCUUCCCACCUUCUUUGGACAAGCCCCAAUGGUUAGAUUUGAAAAACUAGCCGUUACUCACCUUGGGAAGGACAAAAAGUACAUCUGCAGAACUAGCCGUUACUGUUCAGCCCGUGUUUGGGUCGGCUCAACCUGUCCUUGGGUCGACCCAACUUUGCCUUGGGUCGACUCAAACAUUCCCUGGGUCGACCCUCUCAGAAACCACAGAAACUUCAAUUUCAGCCUUCCUUCAGAUGGGUCGACCCAACCAUUCUUUGGGUCGACUCAAAGUCCACUUGGGUCGACUCAACUUCUUCUUGGGUCGACCCUCUCAGUAAUUCCAAGAACCAUUUUCUGUCUGUCUUUCUGUCUUGCCUUUGGGUCGACCCUCUCAGGGUUUGGGUCGACUCAAGCUUGGGUCGACUCAACCACUGUUUGGGUCGACCCUCUCAGUAAAUCCAGAGAGCAUUCUUCAGUUGUGUUUUGAGGUUCUUGAAGGUUGGGUCGACUCAUGCUUACCUUGGGUCGACCCAACUCACUGUUCAUUUGUGCCAUUUUUGCAGGAGUGUGCCAGAUGAUUUCUUGAUGUGCCGGGGUCGACCCAAUCAACCUAUGGGUCGACUCAAACCACACUUUGCUGCAUUCUCAAGGUUAGAUUCAUCCAAAUGAACAAGGCCAUGUAUUUAUUUUCAAUUAAACAAAUAUACUGAGAGUAAUGAACUUAUAAAUGAAGUAUCAAUUUAACUUAUAGCAUACUNNNNNNNNNNNNNNNNNNNNNNNNNNNNNNNNNNNNNNNNNNNNAUAGGUCGUAUUAAAACUCGAUUUAGAAUAUGGCAAGCAGUGCUUAUAGCUUCAGCCCAAAAGUACUUUGGAAGAUUUGACUCGCACAACAUCGUGCGUGCCAUUUCUGCCAAGGUCCUAUUUUUUCUUUCAAUAAUCCCAUUUUGUUGAGGCGUUCUAGGUGCUGAAAAUUGAUGUGAGAUACCGUUUUCAUUACAAAAUUCUUCAAAAUGUUGAUUUUCAAAUUCAGUUCCAUGAUCACUUCGAAUUGCUAUUAAGGUGCUACGAUUUUAAUCUUGCUCUUUUAAAAAAGAAAAUUAAACGUAGGAUACCCCAAGUAUAGGGUGUAGCAAAGUAAUAUUCUCGGUGAGACCGAGAUCGAAUCCACAGGAAUUUGACAGUGAACAAAAACUAAAGGCUAAAUAAUAUUUGAAUUGACAAAAUAUAACUAAGGCAUCAGGAUUCAGCCUAGCACUUCAUCAUGGUUUUCUUAAAAUCAUCUAUUAUCUCAGUUAAAUAGAUUUAGUUUUAUGGGCAGCAUUACAGUAAUUAUAUUUUAAACUACAGGGAUUUCUAAGCAUCUGUUAUACCCGGUGGAAAUAACAAAUCAAAAAAAAAUAUAUAAGUUUGAAAUAAUUUUUAUAAAUUUAUUGCACCAUAAAUCAAAAAGAAAAACAUUAAAAUCCCAUUGAUGAUUAAAUGAACAACAUGAAGAAAUUGCUAGGCUUUUCCCUAGCCUUAGCUAGAGAAGAUUUAGCUACUCAUAUGAAAUGGAAACAUUUUCAUAAAAAGGAAUUGUAAAGAAUAACUUAAAAUAAACAUAAAUCCCUUUUUCCUUUUUUUUUCUUUGGUUCAGAAAACAGGAUGCUCUGUUUUCUUCUCCCGGUUGCUUCCUCCCUUCCGUGGCCUCUUCUCCUCUCUCGCUCGGCUGGGAAAGAAAUGGAUGUUGGCUUCCCUGGUUCCGUGGCUUCCCCUUGCUUCCUCCUUUUCCUCCACCGUGUGGUUCUCUCCUUCCUCGUCGGCUGAUUUCCCUCCUUUCGUUCGGCUGGAACAAUUGGAAGAGGAGAUGCUCCCUUCUCGCCUCCGUGGUUGCUUGCUCGGCUGCCUUCUUAUAGCAUGUUGAAGAGGCCGGGUGAAACGCGGCUGAGAUGCGGGGUGGAGGGAGUUGCGAAUAUGGGAAGACUCCUCGUGGAUGGAAUUAAUUUGCUGGGAAUGGCUGGAAAAUGAUCGGAUGCAUGGAAUACGUGGAUGGCCGUUGGGGUGUUGAGAAGACUCCUCGGCUGGAAGCUCUAUUCCGAAAUGGAUGAUCCGAUUGCAUGUGCUGGGAGGUCUCGGACAGUUGGAAGAUGCUGGGAAGCUCCUCGGCGUUAGGAGUUUGAACAUUGAAGAAGUUUGAGUUGCAGUCAUUGAUGUUAGAUUUGUGGAUAAGCUGAGAAGAAACGGGGGAGACGGAAGGACUCUGAUGAAUGCUGGGACGUUGCAGACGUUUGGGAAGUUAAGAAGACUCGGCUUGGGACUCUUCUCCUCCGAUGGCUGCUGGCCUCCUCCCUUUUCGUCGCACGCUCCACGCUUGGAUGAGCUGGGAAGAAACAGGGGAAACGGAAAGAUGCUGAUGAGAUGCCAUUUGGAAUUGAAGAGCUGGUUUAGCUUAGGUCUCUUGGGUCUGAUUUAAGUCCCUUGGAUGAGAUGCCAUGAUGCUUGGAAUUGAAGAGCCCGUUUGCAUAUGCAUGGAGGUCCACGGUCGGUUGGGAAAUUGGAAAAUUUCAAAGCCCCCAUGCUGUGGAUGUUUGGAAAAUUUAUUGAGCUUGGGCUGCCAGGCAUUGGGCUCAAAUCCAGAGUUACUGAGUCUCUUGGAUUAAUUUCACUCAAACACAAAUAAAACAUUAAUUAAUUAAUUUUAUUAAUAAAAAUUAACUAUAAUACUAAUUAAGAUAAUAUGAAAAUUAUACUUUUGUACUCUCAUCAUAAGGUGAGCUUCUUUUNNNNNNNNNNNNNNNNNNNNNNNNNNNNNNNNNNNNNNNNNNNNNNNNNNNNNNNNNNNNNNNNNNNNNNNNNNNNNNNNNNNNNNNNNNNNNNNNNNNNNNNNNNNNNNNNNNNNNNNNNNNNNNNNNNNNNNNNNNNNNNNNNNNNNNNNNNNNNNNNNNNNNNNNNNNNNNNNNNNNUAGUUGUUGAUACUAUAUUCUUUGAUUUGAAGGAUGAUUUUGUUUGUUUUCCUAAUGAGCAUGGUCCACAAAUUUUGUCCUUUUCAAAGAUCAAUUUUGGCACAUCUUUUAUUAAUUCCUUCUUGAUUAGUUUUGAUAUUAAUUCCAUACUAGCAUGUCCUAGUCUACGAUGCCAAAGCCAACUUGUUUCAUUUUUCUUUUCUUCAUUAGUAAUUAAACAUAAUCCAUUUUUCUUGCCUAAUUCAUGAAGAUCUACCAUGUAAAUAUUUCUUUGCCUUUGUCCUAUAAGUACAAUGCUAUUAUCUUUAGGAUUUAUGAUUAUGCAUACUGAUGCUUCAAAUGUGACUUUAAACCCUUUAUCACAAAAUUGACUUAUGCUAAGUAGGUUAUGUUUCAAACCGUUAACUAAUAAGACAUUUUCUAUGAAGGUAGAUGGAGUAAUGAAAAUUUUACCCUUUCCAAUGAUAUACCCUUUUCCAUUGUCUCCAUAGGUUACUACUCCACCCUUCUUAGAUUCCAAGAUGACAAAUUGGUCUACGUCACCGGUCAUGUGUCUUGAACAGCCGCUAUCUAGAUACCAUCGUUUAUCCACUUUAUUAGCUGCAAGACACCCCUGCAAUCAAGAUCAAGAAUGAGCUUUAGAUACCCAAACUAUGUUGGGUCCUUUAGGGUUAGUACUUGAU
RNAcentral lists this long non-coding RNA (14257 nucleotides) under Phoenix dactylifera (date palm). Its description in RNAcentral is "long non-coding RNA (PDAC_LNC002342)". Lineage: Eukaryota; Viridiplantae; Streptophyta; Magnoliopsida; Arecales; Arecaceae. The record is from RNAcentral.